UAAGGAAUAUUGGUCAAUGGACGCAAGUCUGAACCAGCCAUGCCGCGUGAAGGAUGAAGGUCCUCUGGAUUGUAAACUUCUUUUAUCUGGGACGAAAACGGGAUUUUUAUCUCAAUUGACGGUACCAGAGGAAUAAGCACCGGCUAACUCCGUGCCAGCAGCCGCGGUAAUACGGAGGGUGCGAGCGUUAUCCGGAUUUACUGGGUUCAAAGGGUGCGUAGGUGGGCUUAUAAGUCAGUGGUGAAAUCUCCGAGCUUAACUUGGAAGCUGCCGUUGAUACUAUAGGUCUUGAAUUAUCUGGAGGUAAGCGGAAUAUGUCAUGUAGCGGUGAAAUGCUUAGAUAUGACAUAGAACACCAAUUGCGAAGGCAGCUUACUACAUAUAAAUUGACGCUGAGGCACGAAAGCGUGGGGAUCAAACA
RNAcentral lists this ribosomal RNA (421 nucleotides) under uncultured bacterium. RNAcentral describes it as "bacterial SSU rRNA". It matches the Rfam family "Bacterial small subunit ribosomal RNA", at positions 355 to 774 of the family's 1533-position model. The record is from RNAcentral.